UACGUAGGGUGCGAGCGUUGUCCGGAAUUACUGGGCGUAAAGGGCGCGUAGGCGGUCUGUUAAGUUCGGUGUGAAAUCCCCUGGCUCAACUGGGGAACUGCGCUGGAAACUGGCAGACUCGAGUACCGGAGAGGAGAGUGGAAUUCCUGGUGUAGCGGUGAAAUGCGCAGAUAUCAGGAAGAAUAUCCGUGGCGAAGGCGGCUCUCUGGUACGGCACUGACGCUGAGACGCGAAAGCGUGGGGAGCGAACAGG
RNAcentral lists this ribosomal RNA (253 nucleotides) under uncultured bacterium. RNAcentral's name for it is "partial 16S ribosomal RNA". It matches the Rfam family "Bacterial small subunit ribosomal RNA", at positions 524 to 776 of the family's 1533-position model. The record is from RNAcentral.